This 1196-nucleotide long non-coding RNA is filed under the name Lactuca sativa (garden lettuce). Its description in RNAcentral is "long non-coding RNA (LSAT_LNC007054)". Lineage: Eukaryota; Viridiplantae; Streptophyta; Magnoliopsida; Asterales; Asteraceae. The record is from RNAcentral.
ACACUAAAAUAUAUUUGGUGAUAAAAUCACCAAGAAACUAAAAAUAAAAGCUAAGUUAAUGGUUGCUUCCGCACUUCAUCUUUCACAAAAAUCAUACUAAAGAGUUUCUUGCACUCUUUCUUCACCCAAUUUUACACACAAACACUCUUUUUCAUUCAUUGCCAAAUGUUGUCCAAUAAAAAUCAUUUAAAAAAAUGAUACGGUCAGAUUUUGAAAUCUAUCCAAAAAAUGAUAUCUUCUUCUUUCCUUCCCGUUUAUGGAUCUUCAGCCAAAGGAGAAGAAGAACAAGCGACUGUACAUCCCUCCUCCUCCCCCUCGUUCUUUCCCCUGUCAAAAAUCAAACCCAAAAACACCCAUCUAAGUUCUAUUUCUCCAUUUUCCUUUCUGCUUCUUUUUUUCCUGUCAAACACCAAACGAACAAUCCUUUUGCCCUCCAUCGAUUUCUAUCAAAACAAGAACAAAAGAAAAAAAAAACAGAGAUACCUUCUUGAGAUUGACCUCCAAUCACCGAACUAUCUGCACUUGAACCUUCCCCUUUCCCUUCGCGAUCCACUGCCGGAGAAGAAGCAAGCAGUCGAGAGGCUGCUUGAGCGGCCCCUCGCUGUAACCACCAAGACAAACGAAAUCCCUCGCUGCUCUUCACUCCUUCUCUUCGGCCUCAUCGAUCCUCGGGGACGUUCCUUUUUCGCGAUCGAUAGACAAAACCAUCGGACCAACUUCUUGCUUUCCUUCGCACCUCGCAGACGGACGAGAACGAAGACAACUCACUGCUUCGUCCCCUUCGUCGCUUCGGUCUCGUCGACCCCCGGAAACGCCUACCACAUCGCGAAUCGACCGACGAAACUACUUUAUCGCUGUGAGCCUUCGUUCAUCAGUUUCGUUCCUUCGUGGUCCGUUCGUUUCUACAUUGGUAUGACUGAUUGAACAAAUGAAGAUGGGACACAAAAAGCCCUAAUUCCAUUAAGUUUGGGCCAUUAAACAAAAACGGCACCUCCAUGAUAUUCCUUUUCAUAAAAGCCCUAAUUUCAUUUAACUUUGAUGAAAUAACCGAAUUACCCCCAUAUUGAGACAUUUAUUCGAAAUCAGUCCCAAAUCCCCAAACAUUGAACCCAUUUAUUUAAAAUAGCCACUCCUUGGUUAUUUUUAGCUAAACAGAUCCCAAUAUUCAAACAUUAAUCCCAUUUGAACCAUUUUAG